This is a long non-coding RNA of Lutra lutra (Eurasian river otter), 618 nucleotides long. RefSeq lists it as uncharacterized. Lineage: Eukaryota; Metazoa; Chordata; Mammalia; Carnivora; Mustelidae. The record is from RefSeq and is a predicted model, not a curated record. The transcript is spliced from 4 exons.
UGCAGGAGGAGGAGAGAGAGAGACCAGAGGAAGAAGACCAGUUGGAGGCUACUCCAGUCUUUUAGAUGUUGCUGUCACUUCUGAUGAUUCCUAGGUUUUUACCUGCAGCCCCAACCUAUAUUUGAAGGAGCUGAUUUACAUAUUCAACUGCCAGGUGUCAUCUACUCUGGCCUACGUCUGGCAAGAUUGAGGAAAUCCCCUUCCUCCCAUGGGCCGGUGAGACCCCAAGGCCCUCACCUUGGGUUAGACCAGAAGACAACCCAUUUGACUAAUGGACACACCUGGAAGAGCCCUCUGUCUGCAGAGUGCUUUUGCCAUGGCCAUUUACCGCUUGGGAGCUAUGUGACCAUGGAGACCUCAGCUCCCCCAAAGGCACUAGAAGAGGGUGGAAGAUGACAAACAGCACAAAAGGACACUGAGUUUGGAAGUCAUAAAUAGAUAUUUGUUUGAAAACAUUGCGUUAAGCUAUUUACUGCCAUAGCACGUAGGUGCUGAAGAUGUUGGUCAUCACAGGCUGCAGGUGCACGUGUGGAACAUGCUUGUGACGUCGUCAUCCUCUGAUGCACUCAUCAGAUGCGUCAUCCUCACUGUGCACCUGCCACGUCCGAGCUCAGGAGC